AAUGGGCGCAAGCCUGAUGCAGCGACGCCGCGUGGGGGAUGACGGCCUUCGGGUUGUAAACCUCUUUCACCAUCGACGAAGGUUCGGGUUUUCUCGGAUUGACGGUAGGUGGAGAAGAAGCACCGGCCAACUACGUGCCAGCAGCCGCGGUAAUACGUAGGGUGCGAGCGUUGUCCGGAAUUACUGGGCGUAAAGAGCUCGUAGGUGGUUUGUCGCGUUGUUCGUGAAAUCUCACGGCUUAACUGUGAGCGUGCGGGCGAUACGGGCAGACUG
This 273-nucleotide ribosomal RNA is filed under the name uncultured Mycobacterium sp. Its description in RNAcentral is "partial 16S ribosomal RNA". It matches the Rfam family "Bacterial small subunit ribosomal RNA", at positions 370 to 643 of the family's 1533-position model. The record is from RNAcentral. Lineage: Bacteria; Bacillati; Actinomycetota; Actinomycetes; Mycobacteriales; Mycobacteriaceae.